RNAcentral lists this ribosomal RNA (268 nucleotides) under Vibrio cholerae O1. Its description in RNAcentral is "partial 23S ribosomal RNA". It matches the Rfam family "Bacterial large subunit ribosomal RNA", at positions 2655 to 2925 of the family's 2925-position model. The record is from RNAcentral. Lineage: Bacteria; Pseudomonadati; Pseudomonadota; Gammaproteobacteria; Vibrionales; Vibrionaceae.
AGGAAAUUUGAGAGGAGCUGUCCUUAGUACGAGAGGACCGGGAUGGACAUACCUCUGGUGUACCAGUUGUCGUGCCAACGGCAUAGCUGGGUAGCUAUGUGUGGACGGGAUAAGUGCUGAAAGCAUCUAAGCAUGAAGCCCCCCUCAAGAUGAGAUUUCCCAACUUCGGUUAUAAGAUCCCUCAAAGAUGAUGAGGGUAAUAGGUUCGAGGUGGAAGCAUGGUGACAUGUGGAGCUGACGAAUACUAAUCGAUCGAAGACUUAAUCAA